This 351-nucleotide ribosomal RNA is filed under the name uncultured bacterium. RNAcentral's name for it is "bacterial SSU rRNA". It matches the Rfam family "Bacterial small subunit ribosomal RNA", at positions 8 to 349 of the family's 1533-position model. The record is from RNAcentral.
AGAGUUUGAUCCUGGCUCAGGAUGAACGCUAGCUACAGGCUUAACACAUGCAAGUCGAGGGGAAACGACAUUGAAAGCUUGCUUUUGAUGGGCGUCGACCGGCGCACGGGUGAGUAACGCGUAUCCAACCUGCCCAUCACUUGGGGAUAACCUUGCGAAAGUAAGACUAAUACCCAAUGAUAUCUCUAGAAGGCAUCUGAAAGAGAUUAAAGAUUUAUCGGUGAUGGAUGGGGAUGCGUCUGAUUAGCUUGGUUGGCGGGGUAACGGCCACCAAAGCAACGAUCAGUAGGGGUUCUGAGAGGAAGGUCCCCCACAUUGGAACUGAGACACGGUCCAACUCCUACGGGAGCA